AGUGAACGCUGGCGGUAGGCCUAACACAUGCAAGUCGAACGGCAGCACAGUAAGAGCUUGCUCUUACGGGUGCGAGUGGCGGACGGGUGAGGAAUACAUCGGAAUCUACUUUUUCGUGGGGGAUAACGUAGGGAAACUUACGCUAAUACCGCAUACGACCUACGGGUGGAAGCAGGGGAUCUUCGGACCUUGCGCGAUUGAAUGAGCCGAUGUCGGAUUAGCUAGUUGGCGGGGUAAAGGCCCACCAAGGCGACGAUCCGUAGCUGGUCUGAGAGGAUGAUCAGCCACACUGGAACUGAGACACGGUCCAGACUCCUACGGGAGGCAGCAGUGGGGAAUAUUGGACAAUGGGCGCAAGCCUGAUCCAGCCAUACCGCGUGGGUGAAGAAGGCCUUCGGGUUGUAAAGCCCUUUUGUUGGGAAAGAAAAGCAGCAGGUUAAUACCCCGCUGUUCUGACGGUACCCAAAGAAUAAGCACCGGCUAACUUCGU
Molecule: ribosomal RNA, 490 nt
Filed under: uncultured bacterium
Lineage: Bacteria
Description: partial 16S ribosomal RNA
Rfam family: Bacterial small subunit ribosomal RNA
Source: RNAcentral